UACGUAGGGUGCAAGCGUUGUCCGGAAUCAUUGGGCGUAAAGAGCUCGUAGGCGGUCUGUCGCGUCGGCUGUGAAAACCCGGAGCUCAACUCCGGGCCUGCAGUCGAUACGGGCAAACUGGAGUACUGCAGGGGAGACUGGAAUUCCUGGUGUAGCGGUGAAAUGCGCAGAUAUCAGGAGGAACACCGGUGGCGAAGGCGGGUCUCUGGGCAGUAACUGACGCUGAGGAGCGAAAGCGUGGGGAGCGAACAGG
Molecule: ribosomal RNA, 253 nt
Filed under: uncultured bacterium
Lineage: Bacteria
Description: partial 16S ribosomal RNA
Rfam family: Bacterial small subunit ribosomal RNA
Source: RNAcentral